CAUGAAGUCGGAAUUGCUAGUAAUCGCAGAUCAGCAUGCUGCGGUGAAUACGUUCCCGGGCCUUGUACACACCGCCCGUCACACCAUGGGAGUCGGUAACACCCAAAGUUGGUAGCCUAACCGCAAGGAGGGCGCCGCCUAAGGUGGGAUUGAUGACUGGGGUGAAGUCGUAACAAGGUAUC
Molecule: ribosomal RNA, 182 nt
Filed under: uncultured bacterium
Lineage: Bacteria
Description: partial 16S ribosomal RNA
Rfam family: Bacterial small subunit ribosomal RNA
Source: RNAcentral